CGCCUCUUGCAACACAACUAAGUAUAAGAGGUCCAGCCUGCCCAGUGACAAUAAGUUAAAUGGCCGCGGUAUUUUAACCGUGCAAAGGUAGCGUAAUCACUUGUCUUCUAAAUAAAGACCUGUAUGAAUGGCUAAACGAGGGCUUAACUGUCUCCCUUUUCAAGUCAGUGAAAUUGAUCUGCCCGUGCAGAAGCGGACAUAAAUAUACAAGACGAGAAGACCCUUUGGAGCUUAAGGUACAAAUCUUCAACCACGUCAAGCGACUCGAUAAAAAGCGACAAACUUUGUGGUAUCUGAGAUCAACCUUCGGUUGGGGCGACCAUGGAGUAAAAAAUAUCAUCCAAGUGGAAUGGGACAAACCUUCCCUAAAACCAAGAAAGACAUUUCUAAGCCACAGAAAAUCUGACCAUAAAUGAUCCGGUCAACAUGACCGAUUAACGAAUCAAGUUACCCCAGGGAUAACAGCGCAAUCCUCUCCCAGAGUCCAUAUCGACGAGGGGGUUUACGACCUCGAUGUUGGAUCAGGACAUCCUAAUGGUGCAGCCGCUAUUAAGGGUUCGUUUGUUCAACGAUUAAAGUCCU
This 582-nucleotide ribosomal RNA is filed under the name Osteobrama belangeri (pengba). RNAcentral's name for it is "partial 16S ribosomal RNA". It matches the Rfam family "Bacterial large subunit ribosomal RNA", at positions 1816 to 2597 of the family's 2925-position model. Lineage: Eukaryota; Metazoa; Chordata; Actinopteri; Cypriniformes; Cyprinidae. The record is from RNAcentral.